RNAcentral lists this ribosomal RNA (253 nucleotides) under uncultured bacterium. RNAcentral's name for it is "partial 16S ribosomal RNA". It matches the Rfam family "Bacterial small subunit ribosomal RNA", at positions 524 to 776 of the family's 1533-position model. The record is from RNAcentral.
UACGAAGGGGGCUAGCGUUGCUCGGAAUCACUGGGCGUAAAGGGUGCGUAGGCGGGUCUUUAAGUCAGGGGUGAAAUCCCGGGGCUCAACCUCGGAAUUGCCUUUGAUACUGUCUGUCUUGAGUUCGGGAGAGGUUGGCGGAAUUCCUAGUGUAGAGGUGAAAUUCGUAGAUAUUAGGAAGAACACCAGUGGCGAAGGCGGCCAACUGGCCCGAUACUGACGCUCAUGUGCGAAAGCGUGGGGAGCAAACAGG